RNAcentral lists this non-coding RNA (24 nucleotides) under Arabidopsis thaliana (thale cress). Lineage: Eukaryota; Viridiplantae; Streptophyta; Magnoliopsida; Brassicales; Brassicaceae. The record is from RNAcentral.
AAGAGAAAGACUACACAAGAUGGU